GAGAGAGGAGAGAGAAGAGAGCUUUUUCUAACUACAGAUGGCAGAAGUUAUGUUGUACUUGAUCAACAUUGUAGUGAGGGAUUCAACCUCGCAAACAUUCAUUCACUGCAGGAGCUUGACAGUGUUAUUGUUCCCUUUAAAGGUGGAGUAACUUUUGAAAACAGCUUGUUUUGCUCCAAUUGGGGGGCGCAAUGGGCUUUUAACCUCUCGCUCCGGCGGUAACUCGCAAGAGUCUUACAAAGCUUCUUACCCUUCCCCUUGUGGGCAAAAAUACGAAACCCCUCCCGAAACCUCUUCACAAGGUAGGGAGCUAAAGUCAACCAUUCCCUUUUCUUCUGCCCUUACAUUUUAUCUCCAUUAACACGCUCCAAAGAUCCUUGCCCACUAACAUCUACCUUCCUAGCAUACUAACACACAGACCAACACAUUCCAAGGAAACUAUAUGUUAUAAAUACUUGUGUAAGAAUUUAGAUAUUAACUCUAUGUUAUAAAUACUUUUUAUAUAUGAUAUUAGAUUUUUAAUGCUAAAUAUUACAAGGAUACAUAACACAAGGAAUUUAGCAAGUGCCUUCCCAACUAGUACGAUAAAAAAAUGCAACAUACAUUAAAUACCUUAAUUUAUUGCUUAGAAAGAUAAAACUUCAAUUUAUUAUUAUUAAUUUUUUUGUUAAAUAAUAAUUAAUGACCGUUGAUUUCUAUUUACAAUGAAAAUAGCGUCGAAUGUGGGCCAUUGGAUGACGAUUGUUGGUUACAGCUAUAAUGCAUCUUUUUACGUAAUAAUCAUAUGGUGUUCAGCAAGUCCAUGAGCUCACAAUCAUUUAUCAGGUGGCAAUAAAUCAUUAAAUGGUCAUUUGAAUUCAACGCUUAUAAUCUCUUUUUUAACGGACGUGGCGCCAAUCUUACAAUAGACACGCAUGAAGGGGAAACGGUUAUGAUCUCUUCUUUAAUUGACGUGGCACCAAUCAUACAAUAGACGCGCGUAAGGGGAAACGUUUCCAAAAAAUUAACUAAACACGGCUUUCAACGCAUGUGGACUGAUGAAAUGGAGACAUGUCCAAAAUAAAUACAAAGCAAACUCAGAGAUAUUCUCUCUCUUGGAGAAAAAAAAUAUGAAAUGGAGAUGAGCCAAUUAGUGCAAAUAUGAUGGGGCAAAAUUGCACUAACCGGCUCCUCUCCACAAUUUUGCACUCAUAUUCCUCUCCAUUUCAAAUCAAAUGGAAAGGAUCCACCUAUUCCAUUUCUUACACCAAACGAACCCAUAUCAGGCGGGCUGGGUGACUUACAAGUCAGGUAGACCUGGUUGUCGAAAACGGGUGUGAAGUGCAACGAAUUUUUUUUACAAAACCAACCCCAAACAAAAACACAUGGUAGUGGGCCAAAAUCCAACAAUGCAUGAGUUUUUUGAAUUCUAAACAAACCCAAGUUUGAGCCCACUUCUAAUCAAGCCCAAAUUCUACAAGUCUUUCAAUCCAUGUUGUCAAAAUUUGAAUUUAAACCGCAAUGCCUUCCCUUCUCACCAUAUCCAACAACAUUAUUUUUAAAUUUGCACUUAACGAGCCUCCCUACUCUGCACAUCCAAUGCAACUAUUUUUGGAAUUUGCCCUUACAGCUACAGCGGAACGAGAAAGAUAAAUACCAAUCAUAUACCACAUGUUCUAGAACUACCCAAAUUGCAUGACGAGGUUGUUAAUGUUCUACCACCGUUGAUGCAUCUUUCUUCUCCUCGAGUACAGUAUCUUCCCUCAAGAGAAUAUGUAAGUAUAUAUAGUUCUUUCAUUUGGUUUUUUUUUUUGGCUUAAUCAAGGAUUUUUUUUAAGUGACAACUUUUUCUCUUUCUAUUUUUUUAUAGUCAUGGUCUGAUUUCAUUCAGCUUGGUAAAACAUGGUCAGGUUGGUCGCAUCAGAUCUGAAAAUGGGGCCAAAAUCAUAUGUUAUUAGGAUUUGAGCUUAUGGGUAGAAAAAUUUUUAGAUCGAUUGACCAUGAGAUUCGUAGGUAUCACCGUUCCUAUAAUUACUGUGGUGAUAUUUACAGUCUAAUAAGAAUAUUGUUGCCCGGGUUCGAUGUUUCAUUACCUUUUGGUCCUCAUCCUUCCCUGGAUUGGAAUUGUUUUUUUUAUGGCGCUUUCUAUGACAUAGUGCAUUUUCACUGCUUAGUAGCAAUGCUAAUGAAGGCUAAUUUUAAGGUUAAUAGUAUGUUUGUCCAUGGACUUUUUGUAUUUUUUUUAUUGAACUUUACCAAGUAUUUGGGAAGCAUGUUUUCUUCAAAUGUUUUUUCCACUUUGCUUUAAUGGAGAAGACAAAUGUAAUUUUGUUAGAACCGUAGUCGAUUUUAGAAAAAGAGAUCCAUAAGGCUUUGUUGGAACUAAGUUUCAAAUCAAAGUCUGAUGGGUUCCUUUUUCAAAAAUCGACCACGGUGCCAACUAAAUGACAUCUGUCUUCCCCAUUAAAGAAAAGUGGAUGAAACAUGUGGACAAAACAUGCUUCACUUGUAUCUGCCAAAUACUCAGUAAAAAUUCUAGAAAAAAGGUACAGAAGUCAAUCGGCAAAUCGACAAACACACCAUUAACCUUCAAAUCAGCCUUCAUUAGCAACGCUACUCAAUAGAAAAAAUGCACCAUGUCAAAAAAAGACCCAUCAAAAAUACAAUUCCAAUCCAAGGCAGGACAGAGACCAAAAGGAAAUAAAAUAUCAAACUUGGCAUCGAUAUUCUUAUUAGAACGUAAAAAUCACAACAGUAAUUACAAAAAUAAUGAUACCUAUGAAUCUCAUGGGCAAUCGACCUAAAAAUUUUUCUACCCAUAAGGCUAAAUCCUAAUAACAUAUCAUUUUGGCCUCAUUCCCAAAUCUGAUGCGGCCAACCUGGCCAUGUUCUACCAAGCUGAAUGAAAUCAAAUCAUAACUAUAAAAGAAUGCAAAGGAAAAAAAUUGUCACCAAAAAAAAAAAAAUCUUUGAUUAUAUAUAUAUUGUUGGGAGUUGGGCCUGAACGACAGAUGUAG
Molecule: non-coding RNA, 2996 nt
Filed under: Betula luminifera
Lineage: Eukaryota; Viridiplantae; Streptophyta; Magnoliopsida; Fagales; Betulaceae
Source: RNAcentral